GGACUACUAGGGUUUCUAAUCCUUUUUGCUCCCCACGCUUUCGUGUCUCAGAGUCAGGAAAGUCCCAGUGAGCUGCCUUCGCCUUUGGUGUUUCGCACGAUAUCAACGGAUUUCACCCCUACACCGUGCGCUCCGCUCACCUCUAACUUCCUCUAGUUCUGCCGUAUCCCAUGCAGGCCCACCGUUAGGCGGUGGUAUUUAACAUGAGACGCACAAAACAUCCUACACACGCUUUACGCCCAAUAAAUCCGGAUAACGCUUGAGGCCUACGUAUUACCGCGGCUGCUGGCAC
Molecule: ribosomal RNA, 292 nt
Filed under: uncultured bacterium
Lineage: Bacteria
Description: partial 16S ribosomal RNA
Source: RNAcentral